GCGAAAUCCUGGUGAUCUUCUCUAUCUAAUGAAUGGGGAGUCCUCUUUAAAAUCGUCCGCCCGUAACCCAGCAGAUAAAGU
RNAcentral lists this transfer RNA (81 nucleotides) under Solanum lycopersicum (tomato). RNAcentral's name for it is "tRNA-Leu". The record is from RNAcentral. Lineage: Eukaryota; Viridiplantae; Streptophyta; Magnoliopsida; Solanales; Solanaceae.